UGGUCGCAGGUUCGAAUCCUGCACGACCCACCAAUCGCUAAGGUAGAACGCGAUUGCAAAACGUGAAGGAUAACGUUGCGUAAGCAACGGCCCGUAGGGCGAGGCAAAGCCGAGUCAUCCUGCACGACCCACCA
Molecule: small RNA, 134 nt
Filed under: Citrobacter freundii
Lineage: Bacteria; Pseudomonadati; Pseudomonadota; Gammaproteobacteria; Enterobacterales; Enterobacteriaceae
Description: partial RtT sRNA
Rfam family: RtT RNA
About the family: This family represents a bacterial cis-regulatory element known as RtT RNA.
Source: RNAcentral